AGAGUUUGAUCCUGGCUCAGGAUGAACGCUAGCGGCGGGCUUAAUACAUGCAAGUCAAGGGGUAGCAAUACACCGGCGUACGGGUGCGUAACGCGUAUGGAACCUGCCCUUAUCUGGGGGAUAACUCGGGGAAACUCGAGCUAAUACCGCAUAAGAUAGUAGAAUGGCAUCAUUCAGCUAUUAAAGAUUUAUUGGAUAAGGAUGGCCAUGCGUAAGAUUAGAUAGUUGGCGAGGUAACGGCUCACCAAGUCUACGAUCUUUAGGGGCUCUGAGAGGAGAAUCCCCCACACUGGCACUGAGAUACGGGCCAGACUCCUACGGGAGGCAGCAGUAGGGAAUAUUGGGCAAUGGGCGGAAGCCUGACCCAGUCACGCCGCGUGCAGGAAGACGGCCCUCUGGGCUGUAAACUGCUUUUAACUGGGAAGAAAAGAGGCCUUGCGAGGCAAGUUGACGGUACCAGUUGAAUAAGCCACGGCUAACUACGUGCCAGCAGCCGCGGUAAUACGUAGGUGGCGAGCGUUAUCCGGAUUUAUUGGGUUUAAAGGGAGCGUAGGCGGCUGAUUAAGUCAGCGGUGAAAGGUAGCAGCUUAACUGUUUUACAUGCCGUUGAUACUGGUUAGCUUGAGUUGACAGAA
This 635-nucleotide ribosomal RNA is filed under the name uncultured bacterium. RNAcentral's name for it is "bacterial SSU rRNA". It matches the Rfam family "Bacterial small subunit ribosomal RNA", at positions 8 to 655 of the family's 1533-position model. The record is from RNAcentral.